Molecule: ribosomal RNA, 750 nt
Filed under: Microbacterium phyllosphaerae
Lineage: Bacteria; Bacillati; Actinomycetota; Actinomycetes; Micrococcales; Microbacteriaceae
Description: bacterial SSU rRNA
Rfam family: Bacterial small subunit ribosomal RNA
Source: RNAcentral
AACGGGUGAGUAACACGUGAGCAACCUGCCCCUGACUCUGGGAUAAGCGCUGGAAACGGCGUCUAAUACUGGAUACGAGUAGCGACCGCAUGGUCAGUUACUGGAAAGAUUUAUUGGUUGGGGAUGGGCUCGCGGCCUAUCAGCUUGUUGGUGAGGUAAUGGCUCACCAAGGCGUCGACGGGUAGCCGGCCUGAGAGGGUGACCGGCCACACUGGGACUGAGACACGGCCCAGACUCCUACGGGAGGCAGCAGUGGGGAAUAUUGCACAAUGGGCGCAAGCCUGAUGCAGCAACGCCGCGUGAGGGAUGACGGCCUUCGGGUUGUAAACCUCUUUUAGCAGGGAAGAAGCGAAAGUGACGGUACCUGCAGAAAAAGCGCCGGCUAACUACGUGCCAGCAGCCGCGGUAAUACGUAGGGCGCAAGCGUUAUCCGGAAUUAUUGGGCGUAAAGAGCUCGUAGGCGGUUUGUCGCGUCUGCUGUGAAAUCCGGAGGCUCAACCUCCGGCCUGCAGUGGGUACGGGCAGACUAGAGUGCGGUAGGGGAGAUUGGAAUUCCUGGUGUAGCGGUGGAAUGCGCAGAUAUCAGGAGGAACACCGAUGGCGAAGGCAGAUCUCUGGGCCGUAACUGACGCUGAGGAGCGAAAGGGUGGGGAGCAAACAGGCUUAGAUACCCUGGUAGUCCACCCCGUAAACGUUGGGAACUAGUUGUGGGGUCCAUUCCACGGAUUCCGUGACGCAGCUAACGCAUUA